AUCCCUCUUUUUACCAGUAGUGAUAGGUAAACAAGAACAUGAGUGGAUAAUAAAGCACUCACCCCCAAUACAACGGUUGAUAAAGUGGAACUCCGCAUAGUGACAAGGCCAGAGAGCUGAUCAUCAGCGAAAAGAUCUGACCAGAAUGACAAAUACAGUGACAUGGCUGUAAUGAAAAUAGCAUGGACCGUAGAUAUGGACCUACA
This 206-nucleotide long non-coding RNA is filed under the name Nicotiana benthamiana. Its description in RNAcentral is "long non-coding RNA (NBEN_LNC000285)". Lineage: Eukaryota; Viridiplantae; Streptophyta; Magnoliopsida; Solanales; Solanaceae. The record is from RNAcentral.